CCCCCCGUGGAAGUCAGUCUCGGCAUUCCCGGGCAUCAUAGCAACAUGAGGGCGCCCCAGCCCGGAAGGUAAGCAGGAUCGGACCUUGGUGGUGCUUGGAUGGGGGACCACCUGGGGAGACCAAGGGCUGGAGGCU
This is a ribosomal RNA of Pan paniscus (pygmy chimpanzee), 136 nucleotides long. Lineage: Eukaryota; Metazoa; Chordata; Mammalia; Primates; Hominidae. The record is from Ensembl.